This 279-nucleotide ribosomal RNA is filed under the name uncultured bacterium. Its description in RNAcentral is "partial 16S ribosomal RNA". It matches the Rfam family "Bacterial small subunit ribosomal RNA", at positions 506 to 784 of the family's 1533-position model. The record is from RNAcentral.
UGCCAGCCGCCGCGGUAAUACGGAGGGGGCAAGCGUUGUUCGGAAUUACUGGGCGUAAAGGGCGUGUAGGCGGCCGACCAAGUCGGGUGUGAAAGCCCUCGGCUCAACCGAGGAAUUGCACUCGAUACUGAUUGGCUAGAGUCCGGGAGGGGGUAGCGGAAUUCCCAGUGUAGCGGUGAAAUGCGUAGAUAUUGGGAAGAACACCAGUGGCGAAGGCGGCUACCUGGACCGGAACUGACGCUGAGGCGCGAAAGCUAGGGGAGCGAAUGGGAUUAGAUA